GGCAGUGGCUGGCAGGGCGCCCGGCUCCUGAUCCGCUGUCACACCCUCCUGCUGCAUGGCGAAGGCGCUGACAGCGCCCGGAGGCGAGCGCAGGGAAGAGCCUCCAGUGCCACAGCCGCCGUUAGGGCAUGAGAAUGGCCUGGGGCUCCGUCAAGAUGCAGCCGUCGUGCGAGAGCCUGUCACUGGCCGCGCUGGCGGCCAUGGCGGCGGCGGACCGCUCCCUGUGCCACAGUCCCAGCGUGCACGAGCCAGGGCGCGAGCAGCUGCCGGUGCCCCGACGGCCGCGGCUGCGGAACCUGCUGGCGUUGCUGCGGAGCGGGCUCACCCUGUGGAGGAAGCGCGGUGCCUCUGGGGGCCGGGGCCAGCCACUUACCUCAGGAGGUACCCAAGCAUCUCAUUGCAAACCAGAUGUCUCUAGUCCUGCUGUGAAGCAAGAGGCAGCCUGGGACUCCAGGCUUUUCCUUGCUGGGAGUGACGUUCUUCUCUGGUCAUCUUGGACAUCUCACCUGGAGGAUGACAUGACUUCGUAUCUACACCUGUGAAGACUUUACAGACUGAAUUCUGUGCAGGCCAGAGGGUGCCUGUUACCUGGCAGUGCCAGAAAGGUCUCUACUGUUUCUCUUUACAUAAUGUUACUACUUUUCUUCAUGUUGAUUAAUUUAUCAAUGUUCAAGUGACGUCUAUUGCUCAUCUGAAAGGGGAGGAGAAAAUAUGCACUAUUUAAAAUGUUCUCAAAGAGGCUUCUAAACUUUAGUCUCAAUAGAUAACACUUUUUCCCCUGCUUUCUUAGUGGUACAAUAUUCAGUCACAAGCUGGCAUCACAGAACCUGAAUUUCACCCACCCAUGUACAAGUUGCACAUUUCCUUGUUGAUGUGAAGCCAGAGUGUGUGUUCUUUUCCCAGCACAUUGACAUUCAUACUGUUCUGAUUUAUACCUGUAUCAAAUUAAUACCUGUUAAAUUACUUCAAAUUUUUGGACAAUGGGUUCAUUGUGGAUGUCUCAUGAAGUGACAAACUGAGACCUAGAAUACAGAGAGAAAGGUUUCUCCUAACCUUUGUUCCUUCACCAAGAGACAUGAUGGUGACCAAGCUUGGCUCAUUUGCUAGUCAAAGGAGUUGUGAAACUUAACAAUAACUGUGGCCCUUUCUCUCCUUUCCACAAAGGCUUGUGCCAGCUGUGCAUCGCAUCACAGUUGUCCUCUCUGCAUUGGAGAGGGCUGUGAGGAAGGCAUCAGUGAAUUGUUUCAUGGGCACUUCUGCUGACUAUUGGCAUUUUAGGAACCAGUCACUUGGUGGCAGUCUCAAGAACUAGCACUCUUGAACAAGAGAAGGGGACACUACUCAGUAUAGGUCAGAUGUGACCUGGCUCCUCUGUGCUAUUCCAGGUGUUGAUCCCUAGGCCUGCCUUUUCACUUAGCCUCCUGAGGCAUAUAUUGGAUAAGUGUUUUCUCUCAGGUGGCAACAGUAAUAAACUACAAUGUCUUCAAAC
Long non-coding RNA from Capra hircus (goat), 1489 nucleotides. The record is from Ensembl. NCBI's taxonomy places the organism in Eukaryota, Metazoa, Chordata, Mammalia, Artiodactyla, Bovidae.